RNAcentral lists this ribosomal RNA (765 nucleotides) under uncultured Streptococcus sp. Its description in RNAcentral is "bacterial SSU rRNA". It matches the Rfam family "Bacterial small subunit ribosomal RNA", at positions 28 to 776 of the family's 1533-position model. Lineage: Bacteria; Bacillati; Bacillota; Bacilli; Lactobacillales; Streptococcaceae. The record is from RNAcentral.
GACGAACGCUGGCGGCGUGCCUAAUACAUGCAAGUAGAACGCUGAAGGAAGGAGCUUGCUCUUUCCGGAUGAGUUGCGAACGGGUGAGUAACGCGUAGGUAACCUGCCUGGUAGCGGGGGAUAACUAUUGGAAACGAUAGCUAAUACCGCAUGACAACAGUUAUUGCAUGAUAGCUGUUUAAAAGGGGCAACUGCUCCACUACCAGAUGGACCUGCGUUGUAUUAGCUAGUUGGUGAGGUAACGGCUCACCAAGGCGACGAUACAUAGCCGACCUGAGAGGGUGAUCGGCCACACUGGGACUGAGACACGGCCCAGACUCCUACGGGAGGCAGCAGUAGGGAAUCUUCGGCAAUGGACGGAAGUCUGACCGAGCAACGCCGCGUGAGUGAAGAAGAUUUUCGGAUCGUAAAGCUCUGUUGUAAGAGAAGAACGAGUGUGAGAGUGGAAAGUUCACACUGUGACGGUAUCUUACCAGAAAGGGACGGCUAACUACGUGCCAGCAGCCGCGGUAAUACGUAGGUCCCGAGCGUUGUCCGGAUUUAUUGGGCGUAAAGCGAGCGCAGGCGGUUAGAUAAGUCUGAAGUUAAAGGCUGUGGCUUAACCAUAGUACGCUUUGGAAACUGUUUAACUUGAGUGCAAGAGGGGAGAGUGGAAUUCCAUGUGUAGCGGUGAAAUGCGUAGAUAUAUGGAGGAACACCGGUGGCGAAAGCGGCUCUCUGGCUUGUAACUGACGCUGAGGCUCGAAAGCGUGGGGAGCAAACAGG